UACGUAGGGUGCAAGCGUUAAUCGGAAUUACUGGGCGUAAAGCGUGCGCAGGCGGUUUGUAAGUUUGUCGUGAAAGCCCCGGGCUCAACCUGGGAAUUGCGAUGAAGACUGCAAGGCUUGAAUCUGGCAGAGGGGGUAGAAUUCCGACGUGUAGCAGUGAAAUGCGUAGAGGAUGUGGAGGAACACCGAUGGCGAAGGCAGCCCCUGGGUCAAGAUUGACGCUCAUGCACGAAGCGUGGGGAGCAAACAGG
Molecule: ribosomal RNA, 251 nt
Filed under: uncultured bacterium
Lineage: Bacteria
Description: partial 16S ribosomal RNA
Rfam family: Bacterial small subunit ribosomal RNA
Source: RNAcentral